This 74-nucleotide transfer RNA is filed under the name Conexibacter arvalis. RNAcentral describes it as "Conexibacter sp. KV-962 tRNA". It matches the Rfam family "tRNA". Rfam says of the family: Transfer RNA (tRNA) molecules are approximately 80 nucleotides in length. Lineage: Bacteria; Bacillati; Actinomycetota; Thermoleophilia; Solirubrobacterales; Conexibacteraceae. The record is from Rfam by way of RNAcentral.
GGCCCAGUAGCUCAGUUGGUUAGAGCAGCGGACUCAUAAUCCGUUGGUCCCAGGUUCGAGUCCUGGCUGGGCCA